AAUAAAUGAACUCGUCGAGCACGCGAAGCGUGGACAUCCACGAUAGCUGAAAUAUCGAAAUAUUCGCUUACCUCGUAAACUCGCGGUCGUUCGUGUGAGGGCGUUGUGUAAGAUCCAGAGGGCAAUAUGGCUGAUCGAACUACAAAGUGAUGUGACGAGAUCAACGUGUAAUCGCCGAAUGAAAAAUGACGCCACGAAGAAAGAGCGGGAAGAAGUGAGCAUUGCAGGGAGGGCACGUAUUAGGUUAUUGUAGAUUCAUUUGCAGUGUCGUAACGAUACGUUUUUGAACGUUCUUUUGGGCGGGAAGUUUUAAAAUUUGAUCUCGCUUAUAAAAAUCAUAGAUAUUGUACAGAUAUUAUUUAUAAUAGUGUAACGUUUUUAAGACAGUUAAUGACUUUACCUCGAUGCAAAUUAUAACAUGUUACAUAAAUAAAUAUAAAUUAUCGAUGAAAUGGAACGUAUUGUUUUGAAUCGGAAAUAUUCCAGGAUUUUCGAAUAGAGGUAAAAAAAUGAGUUAGUUAUCAGUUUACAUUUGAAAAAACAAAUGCGGUAAUCGUGGCUAAAUAUUUGUACAUCUACAUAUAAUUCAUUUUGAAUGCUACCAUUUUACAAUGUAUAUAUAAUGUAAAAUUUACAAAAUAUAAUCAAAGUUAUAUAAAAUUUACAAAAAUAGCUUAGCUGUGAUAUUUUGGGAAGAUAAUAUUAGGAUGAAUUUUAUAACAAAGCUCACAAUAUUUAUUGGUUAAUGUCAAAAAAUAUGAAAUGGGAAAAGUAAACGUAUCGGACAUAGUCAAAAUUUGAGAUAAAUAUAAUUCUAUAACAAUGAUCACUUCUUCUUUCUUUUUUUUCCUUUUUCUUUUUCUUUUAUAGUAAUCUAAUAAGAAUAACGAUUUUUAGCAAAAUGUAUCCAUGCCUAAAUGCUUGAAUUUUAUAAAAACCAUAUCAAGAAAUGGUCUCAUACAUUUUAGACUAGAUUUCAUACUUUAACGUAUUUUAUAUACCACGAUGAAUAUGGCAGUUUUCAAGAUCAGCAUUUUGUAUAUCGCUUCUUAAGAUAUAUAUAACUGCAAUUGCCAUUAAGACUGUCAAUAUUAUAGAAAAUAUUUGCAGAUAUUUUAAUUCUUUGUAUAAUUUGUUGCAAUUUUCUUCCAAAUGAAUUACCUAAAAUAUUGCAUGUAAUAUACAAUUUGAAAUACAUAUCCAUAAUGAUAAUGAAUUAAUUUUUAUUCCAUAUACCUUAGAACAAAGUGUGUCUAUUGUACGAUUCUCUUCUAUGGAACCAGAUGAUAAUAUAGAAUAUGUUUUCUGUA
Molecule: long non-coding RNA, 1310 nt
Organism: Vespula vulgaris
Lineage: Eukaryota; Metazoa; Arthropoda; Insecta; Hymenoptera; Vespidae
Exons: 2
Source: RefSeq, a predicted model, not a curated record